Molecule: non-coding RNA, 67 nt
Organism: Trichonephila clavipes
Lineage: Eukaryota; Metazoa; Arthropoda; Arachnida; Araneae; Nephilidae
Source: the annotation of a GenBank genome assembly
GUGUAGCGCAGUACAUAGCGCUUUGGGCUUCUAAUCCAAAGGUCGUGGGUUCGAAUCCCACCUGGCA